Molecule: ribosomal RNA, 684 nt
Filed under: Triticum aestivum (bread wheat)
Lineage: Eukaryota; Viridiplantae; Streptophyta; Magnoliopsida; Poales; Poaceae
Description: partial small subunit ribosomal RNA
Source: RNAcentral
CAGUUCUGGAUCCCAUUGUUCGGCUCCUUCGACGAGUUGGUCAAGGCCGUGUCGAGGGGGGCUCUGGGAGGUGGUGCCCUCCUAAGGUGUGACAUUGACACAGUGGUUAAGCCCAAUGUCGAGCUACUUCUGCGCUGCGGCUUUAAUAUCCCUGAUCUCGCCAAGACCGGCUUCAAUGGGACGCGGGUGAUCGUCUGCAGCCCAGAAAAACUCCAGGCAUUGGUCGCACGCGCAGAUGAGCUCGGGGUACCACGUGGCUCAGGCCUAUUCAUAUAUGCGCUCGCAACCGUCUUCUGGGUAACCCAAGAGAAGCUUGUUGCAAGAAUGGAGUUACUGAAGAAGACCCUUGGCUGCUCUGACGACAUGCUAAAAAUUGCAGUCGUCAAGCACCCAAGCCUCCUAAGAUCAUCUGAGGACAACCUGCGCAGCACGGUAGAGUUCCUGAUCAACAAGGUUGGUCUUGAGCCAGAGUACAUCGUGCGCAGGCCCGCGCUGAUCACUUACAGCCUGAAGGCGAGGCUUGAGCCUUGAUAUAUUGUCAUGAAGAUACUGCAGGGCAAGGGACUUCUGAGUUCUGACUAUUGCUCAUUGGUUGUUGCGAGUGAGAGGUACUUCAGGUCAAGAUUUAUUGAGUAUUACAAGGAGAGUGUUCCUGAGCUCCCUGAUGUGUAUGCCGCGGCUCGC